This 1043-nucleotide ribosomal RNA is filed under the name Bacillus safensis. RNAcentral describes it as "bacterial SSU rRNA". It matches the Rfam family "Bacterial small subunit ribosomal RNA", at positions 51 to 1076 of the family's 1533-position model. The record is from RNAcentral. Lineage: Bacteria; Bacillati; Bacillota; Bacilli; Caryophanales; Bacillaceae.
AUACAUGCAAGUCGAGCGGACAGAAGGGAGCUUGCUCCCGGAUGUUAGCGGCGGACGGGUGAGUAACACGUGGGUAACCUGCCUGUAAGACUGGGAUAACUCCGGGAAACCGGAGCUAAUACCGGAUAGUUCCUUGAACCGCAUGGUUCAAGGAUGAAAGACGGUUUCGGCUGUCACUUACAGAUGGACCCGCGGCGCAUUAGCUAGUUGGUGGGGUAAUGGCUCACCAAGGCGACGAUGCGUAGCCGACCUGAGAGGGUGAUCGGCCACACUGGGACUGAGACACGGCCCAGACUCCUACGGGAGGCAGCAGUAGGGAAUCUUCCGCAAUGGACGAAAGUCUGACGGAGCAACGCCGCGUGAGUGAUGAAGGUUUUCGGAUCGUAAAGCUCUGUUGUUAGGGAAGAACAAGUGCGAGAGUAACUGCUCGCACCUUGACGGUACCUAACCAGAAAGCCACGGCUAACUACGUGCCAGCAGCCGCGGUAAUACGUAGGUGGCAAGCGUUGUCCGGAAUUAUUGGGCGUAAAGGGCUCGCAGGCGGUUUCUUAAGUCUGAUGUGAAAGCCCCCGGCUCAACCGGGGAGGGUCAUUGGAAACUGGGAAACUUGAGUGCAGAAGAGGAGAGUGGAAUUCCACGUGUAGCGGUGAAAUGCGUAGAGAUGUGGAGGAACACCAGUGGCGAAGGCGACUCUCUGGUCUGUAACUGACGCUGAGGAGCGAAAGCGUGGGGAGCGAACAGGAUUAGAUACCCUGGUAGUCCACGCCGUAAACGAUGAGUGCUAAGUGUUAGGGGGUUUCCGCCCCUUAGUGCUGCAGCUAACGCAUUAAGCACUCCGCCUGGGGAGUACGGUCGCAAGACUGAAACUCAAAGGAAUUGACGGGGGCCCGCACAAGCGGUGGAGCAUGUGGUUUAAUUCGAAGCAACGCGAAGAACCUUACCAGGUCUUGACAUCCUCUGACAACCCUAGAGAUAGGGCUUUCCCUUCGGGGACAGAGUGACAGGUGGUGCAUGGUUGUCGUCACCUCCUGUCGUGAAAUGUU